RNAcentral lists this ribosomal RNA (353 nucleotides) under uncultured Pseudomonas sp. RNAcentral's name for it is "bacterial SSU rRNA". It matches the Rfam family "Bacterial small subunit ribosomal RNA", at positions 1030 to 1382 of the family's 1533-position model. The record is from RNAcentral. Lineage: Bacteria; Pseudomonadati; Pseudomonadota; Gammaproteobacteria; Pseudomonadales; Pseudomonadaceae.
GACACGAGGUGCUGCAGUGGCUGUCGUCAGCUCGUGUCGUGAGAUGUGGGUUAAGUCCCGUAACGAGCGCAACCCUUGUCCUUAGUUACCAGCACGUUAUGGUGGGCACUCUAAGGAGACUGCCGGUGACAAACCGGAGGAAGGUGGGGAUGACGUCAAGUCAUCAUGGCCCUUACGGCCUGGGCUACACACGUGCUACAAUGGUCGGUACAAAGGGUUGCCAAGCCGCGAGGUGGAGCUAAUCCCAUAAAACCGAUCGUAGUCCGGAUCGCAGUCUGCAACUCGACUGCGUGAAGUCGGAAUCGCUAGUAAUCGUGAAUCAGAAUGUCACGGUGAAUACGUUCCCGGGCCUU